GGCUCGUUGGUCUAGGGGUAUGAUUCUCGCUUUGGGUGCAAGAGCUCCCGGGUUCAAAUCCUGGACGAGCCC
Molecule: transfer RNA, 72 nt
Filed under: Danionella translucida
Lineage: Eukaryota; Metazoa; Chordata; Actinopteri; Cypriniformes; Danionidae
Also listed under: 1 other name
Rfam family: tRNA
About the family: Transfer RNA (tRNA) molecules are approximately 80 nucleotides in length. Their secondary structure includes four short double-helical elements and three loops (D, anti-codon, and T loops).
Source: Rfam by way of RNAcentral